CUUCUGAACUAAAGGUCUGAACUAAACACUCAGGAUAACAAUGUUACUCCUCUUCAUGCUUUUCUUCACCAUUGCUGAAACUGAGGCUGCUGAAAACAGCAUUAAACCAGUCCAAACCACUAUGUCUGGAACCGAAGGCAGCAACAUCACACUGUCCUGCACAUAUACUGGAUCAGUUCGGAGUCUUCACUGGUACCAACAAAAACCUGGAUCAAGACCAGAGUUUCUGCUGCUGAUUGAUGAAGUCACUGAACGUGUCACACCAGCUGAACCACCUCAUCCACGAUUGUUCAUUAAACUUGAUAAAACGAGUAAGAAAGUGGAUCUGUUCAUCUCCUCUGCUGCAGCAAAGGGCACAGUGGAAACGCUACCUGGUCGUGGCAGAAAGAAGAUCCUGACGGCGACUGCUGUGCGCUACCUGAAGUGCCAGGUGGAUAAAAAUCCCCAUGUGACUGGUGAGGAACUGAAAAAAGAUCUGUCAGAUGUGGGCAUUGAGGUUUCAGCACAGACAAUAAGCAGUUCUAACAUUAACCUGCUGCUGCUGCUGCACACAUGA
Non-coding RNA from Neoarius graeffei (lesser salmon catfish), 556 nucleotides. Lineage: Eukaryota; Metazoa; Chordata; Actinopteri; Siluriformes; Ariidae. The record is from the annotation of a RefSeq genome assembly.